RNAcentral lists this ribosomal RNA (421 nucleotides) under uncultured bacterium. RNAcentral describes it as "bacterial SSU rRNA". It matches the Rfam family "Bacterial small subunit ribosomal RNA", at positions 30 to 454 of the family's 1533-position model. The record is from RNAcentral.
AUUGAACGCUGGCGGCAUGCCUUACACAUGCAAGUCGAACGGCAGCGGACCUUCGGGUGCCGGCGAGUGGCGAACGGGUGAGUAAUAUAUCGGAACGUACCUUUCAGUGGGGGAUAACGUAGCGAAAGUUACGCUAAUACCGCAUAUUCUGUGAGCAGGAAAGCAGGGGAUCGCAAGACCUUGCGCUGAUUGAGCGGCCGAUAUCAGAUUAGCUAGUUGGUGAGGUAAAGGCUCACCAAGGCGACGAUCUGUAGCGGGUCUGAGAGGAUGAUCCGCCACACUGGAACUGAGACACGGUCCAGACUCCUACGGGAGGCAGCAGUGGGGAAUUUUGGACAAUGGGCGCAAGCCUGAUCCAGCCAUGCCGCGUGAGUGAAGAAGGCCUCGGUUGUAAGACUACUUCGUCCGGGUACGAAGUACG